CCCUUAGAUGUUCUGGGCCGCACGCGCGCUACACUGAUGCAUUCAACGAGUCUAAAACCUGCUCUGAUAGGGGUGGGUAAUCUUUUGAGUGUGCAUCGUGAUUGGGAUAGAUGAUUGCAAUUUUUCAUCUUCAACGAGGAAUGCCUAGUAAACGCAAGUCAUCAGCUUGCAUUGAUUACGUCCCUGCCCUUUGUACACACCGCCCGUCGCUCCUACCGAUUGAAUGAUCCGAUGAAUAUCAUGGAUUGAGGAUGCAAGUAGGUUAGCCUAUCUUCAUCUUCGAGAAGUGAAGUAAAUCUUAUCAUUUAGAGGAAGGAGAAGUCGUAACA
RNAcentral lists this ribosomal RNA (329 nucleotides) under uncultured eukaryote. RNAcentral's name for it is "partial 18S ribosomal RNA". It matches the Rfam family "Eukaryotic small subunit ribosomal RNA", at positions 1470 to 1796 of the family's 1831-position model. The record is from RNAcentral.